This 253-nucleotide ribosomal RNA is filed under the name uncultured bacterium. RNAcentral describes it as "partial 16S ribosomal RNA". It matches the Rfam family "Bacterial small subunit ribosomal RNA", at positions 524 to 776 of the family's 1533-position model. The record is from RNAcentral.
UACGUAGGUGGCAAGCGUUGUCCGGAUUUAUUGGGUUUAAAGGGUGCGUAGGCGGUUUGUCGCGUCUGGUGUGAAAAUCCAGGGCUUAACCCUGGACCUGCAUCGGGUACGGGCAGACUAGAGUGCGGUAGGGGAGAUCGGAAUUCCUGGUGUAGCGGUGAAAUGCGCAGAUAUCAGGAGGAACACCGGUGGCGAAGGCGGAUCUCUGGGCCGUAACUGACGCUGAGGAGCGAAAGCAUGGGGAGCGAACAGG